This 235-nucleotide ribosomal RNA is filed under the name uncultured bacterium. Its description in RNAcentral is "partial 16S ribosomal RNA". It matches the Rfam family "Bacterial small subunit ribosomal RNA", at positions 118 to 351 of the family's 1533-position model. The record is from RNAcentral.
UGAGCAAUCUGCCCUUCUCUUUGGAAUAAGCGUUGGAAACGACGUCUAAUGCCGAAUACGACCUCCUUUCGCAUGAUCGGAGGUGGAAAGCUCCGGCGGAGAAGGAUGAGCUCGCGGCCUAUCAGCUAGUUGGUGUGGGUAAUGGCCCACCAAGGCUACGACGGGUAGCCGGCCUGAGAGGGUGACCGGCCACACUGGGACUGAGACACGGCCCAGACCUCCGUACGGGAGGNAG